This 478-nucleotide ribosomal RNA is filed under the name uncultured bacterium. RNAcentral describes it as "SSU rRNA". It matches the Rfam family "Bacterial small subunit ribosomal RNA", at positions 26 to 518 of the family's 1533-position model. The record is from RNAcentral.
AGGACGAACGCUGGCGGCGUGCUUAACACAUGCAAGUCGAGCGAGGCCUCCUCUUCGGGGGAGUGUUCUAGCGGCGAACGGGUGAGUAACACGUGGGCAACCUGCCCUCAGCUCUGGGAUAACUCCAAGAAAUUGGGGCUAAUACCGGAUAUGACUGCUGACCGCAUGGUCUGGUGGUGGAAAGAUUUAUCGGCUGGGGAUGGGCCCGCGGCCUAUCAGCUUGUUGGUGGGGUAGUGGCCUACCAAGGCGACGACGGGUAGCCGGCCUGAGAGGGUGACCGGCCACACUGGGACUGAGACACGGCCCAGACUCCUACGGGAGGCAGCAGUGGGGAAUAUUGCGCAAUGGGCGAAAGCCUGACGCAGCGACGCCGCGUGGGGAUGACGGCCUUCGGUUGUAAACCUCUUUCAGCAGGGACGAAGCGAAAGUGACGGUACCUGCAGAAGAAGCACCGGCCAACUACGUGCCAGCAGCCGC